Molecule: transfer RNA, 75 nt
Filed under: Selaginella erythropus
Lineage: Eukaryota; Viridiplantae; Streptophyta; Lycopodiopsida; Selaginellales; Selaginellaceae
Description: tRNA-Phe
Source: RNAcentral
CAGUAAGCCGGGCUCCGUCGGUAGGGCAGAGGAUUGAACAUCCUCGUGCCACCGGUUCGAGCCUGGUUCCUAGCG